GUUGUAUGGUUAAGUGACGAAGCGUGCAGGGUGGAUGCCUAGGCAGUCAGAGGCGAAGAAGGACGUGCUAAUCUGCGAAAAGCGUGGAGGAGUUGAUAAGAAGCGUUAUUACUCCACGAUAUCCGAAUGGGGCAACCCAGUAGAUGAAGAAUCUACUAUUGUUAACUGAAUUCAUAGGUUAACAAGGCGAACCGGGAGAACUGAAACAUCUCAGUACCCCGAGGAAAAGAAAUCAACCGAGAUUCUGUAAGUAGCGGCGAGCGAACGCGGAAGAGCCGUUAGUGAUAGUAAGUGUGUUAGGAGAAUGUGUUGGGAAGCACAAUCGUAGAGGGUGAUAAUCCCGUAUCCGAAGGCGCAUUUAUGGUACUAAGCUAACAACAAGUAGGGCGGGACACGAGAAAUCCUGUUUGAAGAUGGGGGGACCAUCCUCCAAGGCUAAAUACUCCUGACUGACCGAUAGUGAACCAGUACCGUGAGGGAAAGGCGAAAAGAACCCUGGUGAAGGGAGUGAAAUAGAACCUGAAACCCUGUACGUACAAGCAGUGGGAGCCC
Molecule: ribosomal RNA, 552 nt
Filed under: Testudinibacter crocodili
Lineage: Bacteria; Pseudomonadati; Pseudomonadota; Gammaproteobacteria; Pasteurellales; Pasteurellaceae
Description: Pasteurellaceae bacterium BK121 partial 23S ribosomal RNA
Rfam family: Bacterial large subunit ribosomal RNA
Source: RNAcentral